Molecule: long non-coding RNA, 249 nt
Filed under: Manihot esculenta (cassava)
Lineage: Eukaryota; Viridiplantae; Streptophyta; Magnoliopsida; Malpighiales; Euphorbiaceae
Description: long non-coding RNA (MESC_LNC001886)
Source: RNAcentral
CGGAAAGGGAAAGGUUUUCAUUUUGUAUUUUAUUGCGCAGUACAUCUGCUUCUGGAUCGCGGAGACGUUGAUGCUCCGAGAAUAUUCUAUUAUUCUACAGUACGAGCAGUCGAGCCCACUUGAGAUGCAAUUUACCUUUUAAGCCCCACUUUUUUUUUUUUUUUUUUUUUUUUUUUUUUUUUUUUUUUUUUUUUUUUUUUUUUUUUUUUUUUUUUUCUUUCGUGUCCUUUUUGUUUGUUAUUUUCCUUU